This 670-nucleotide ribosomal RNA is filed under the name Burkholderia pseudomultivorans. RNAcentral describes it as "bacterial SSU rRNA". It matches the Rfam family "Bacterial small subunit ribosomal RNA", at positions 56 to 719 of the family's 1533-position model. Lineage: Bacteria; Pseudomonadati; Pseudomonadota; Betaproteobacteria; Burkholderiales; Burkholderiaceae. The record is from RNAcentral.
UGCAAGUCGAACGGCAGCACGGGUGCUUGCACCUGGUGGCGAGUGGCGAACGGGUGAGUAAUACAUCGGAACAUGUCCUGUAGUGGGGGAUAGCCCGGCGAAAGCCGGAUUAAUACCGCAUACGAUCUACGGAUGAAAGCGGGGGACCUUCGGGCCUCGCGCUAUAGGGUUGGCCGAUGGCUGAUUAGCUAGUUGGUGGGGUAAAGGCCUACCAAGGCGACGAUCAGUAGCUGGUCUGAGAGGACGACCAGCCACACUGGGACUGAGACACGGCCCAGACUCCUACGGGAGGCAGCAGUGGGGAAUUUUGGACAAUGGGCGAAAGCCUGAUCCAGCAAUGCCGCGUGUGUGAAGAAGGCCUUCGGGUUGUAAAGCACUUUUGUCCGGAAAGAAAUCCUUGGCUCUAAUACAGUCGGGGGAUGACGGUACCGGAAGAAUAAGCACCGGCUAACUACGUGCCAGCAGCCGCGGUAAUACGUAGGGUGCAAGCGUUAAUCGGAAUUACUGGGCGUAAAGCGUGCGCAGGCGGUCUGUUAAGACAGAUGUGAAAUCCCCGGGCUCAACCUGGGAACUGCAUUUGUGACUGGCAGGCUAGAGUAUGGCAGAGGGGGGUAGAAUUCCACGUGUAGCAGUGAAAUGCGUAGAGAUGUGGAGGAAUACCGAUGGCGAA